Salvia splendens (bonfire salvia) is the source of this 1162-nucleotide long non-coding RNA. RefSeq lists it as uncharacterized. The record is from RefSeq and is a predicted model, not a curated record. Lineage: Eukaryota; Viridiplantae; Streptophyta; Magnoliopsida; Lamiales; Lamiaceae. The transcript has 3 exons.
CCCAAAUGCAGUAACGUAGAGGACCGUGUAUAGGUAAAGCAUCUGCCAUGGCUCUGCAGGCUCACAGUUGCCCAUGAGAAGAGCAAUCUGAUCACAUUUGUCUUGAUUUGGCAUCAGACUAGUCAUGGUUGCACACAAGGCUGACUGCAAGAUAAAUGGUGGUGAAGAUGGCUAUAGUCCAGUAUCUCCCGAGAAAGGCAUCGGCGAGGAAACCACCGGGCACAGACGAGGCCUGCGAUAUCCCUAAGAAGUUGUUGACCGCGUUAGCUGAGUCAUCGAAAGGUUGAUGCAUCACGUAGAACAUGAAUGCCACCAUGUUCACAGACAGACCAAAGUAAGCCAUUCUCUCCUCCAUUUCAUUCCCUGCAAACGUUUGUAUAUAAUCAAGUAAUUUUCCAAUCUCUCUCAAGAAAAAAACACCAACCACACAUUUCCCCUGUUAUUACCAAAAAUGAAGAAAGCAGCAAGCCAGCCUCCAGUCCUGGACACACUUGCCUCGGUAAGUGGCUUUCCGAGGAUGUUCACCGGCGUUGCUCCGCUCGUGUAGCCGCCCCCCAGAGCCGUCCGCCUGUCGUCGGAUCAAGAAAGUACAUCCCCAGCCGCUUCCUCCGGUGAGGCGCCUCGACCGGAGCAACGGAUGGCGACUUGAUCUCCCGAGCAGCCAUAUGCCUAUGUCCGAGCCUUAAUGCUGCUACUUAUAUGCAAUGCGGCCACUAAAUUCGGUCACAUUUUUCCUUCAUUUAUUUGGUGUGAGGACUGUUGGGGUGAAGAGAAUCAGUUGCUAACAUAUAUCAUUAAUGCAGCUGCAAUAAUGGUUGGAAACACAAUCAGAAUCUACUCUCCCACCAAACACCUGCAAUUUGGACUAGCCAUCAUCGUCCCCAAUCAUUACAGGUGCAUCAAAGAAGCCCCCGGACUCUACGACGGCGAUGGAGCUACCAAAUGACUGUUUGGGCUUUUGUACCCUAUGUAUUUAGGCUCAACCUAGUUCCUAUUAUAUCUAUUAUUACGGUUUGUUACUACUUUUGUUUUGGGCUUUUUGUACCCUAUGUAUUUAGGCUCAACCUAGUUCCUAUUAUAUCUAUUAUUACGGUUUGUUACUACUUUUGUUCUCUCUUUGCAAAUUGUAUACAAAGACUAAAUAGUGAAAUCUUUAUAUUGA